UGGUGGAGUGAUUUGUCUGGUUAAUUCCGAUAACGAACGAGACUCUGGCCUACUAAAUAGUGAGCGGAUCUCUGUGUCCGUCGCACUUCUUAGAGGGACAAGUGGCUCUUAGUCACACGAAAUUGAGCAAUAACA
Molecule: ribosomal RNA, 135 nt
Filed under: uncultured eukaryote
Lineage: Eukaryota
Description: partial 18S ribosomal RNA
Rfam family: Eukaryotic small subunit ribosomal RNA
Source: RNAcentral